CGGAAUAUUUCCUUCAGUGAACGCGGGGACGCUGACAUUUCAGGCUGGGGUGAGGCAGAAGAAAAAGCCCUAAGAAACGAGCCAGAAACCGAAAGUGAAAGAAAUCGGGCAAAUAAAAAUAAAAAUACGACGAUGCAGGCGAGCGAGGUUCUACGCAGCUGGAUAAAGAAAUGUGUUCUCCUCCAUGUUAACACUUUCUUACGUUCAUGAGGUCCCUUCGGAGCAGCACGGUCAGUGAACCUAACGAGGAAGCUGCUGGAAGGGGCCGCGUUGCAAAGCCUCCCCAGAGAAACAGAAGAAGAGGGAGGAGAUGAUUCCAGCAAGACCAAACUGGCACUGGUGGGACAAACCGAUGCUUCUUCACACAGAACAGGAAAAGAGUCAUGCUGCUCUUCAACUACAGGAAAUAACCUCGGUGCUGAUGACGCAGGUCUCGGGGGAAAGCUCAGCAAGUUCUGUCGAUGUGAAGCAUACUGUACACUCUGUAUAAGUGCACGAACAAGCAGGGCUGUGCAAGGCUGUGCAACAUGUUGCAGCACGGACACACACAUUCACACUGCCACAUCUCUUUGAGGGUUUGUUUUGUGGCAUAUAUUAGAAGUAUGGAAUCUGUUCAUCACUAAACUGUCAAACACAGCUGAAAUAUCUCCCUGUCUUUCUCUCCCCCGGCACCGGCUUACACACAUCCACACAAACUAGAUGAAAAGACGUAAAUCUGUAAAGCUGCCACCAGAUGAUAAGUCUGUGCAGAGAGAUUUCCCCCAGCAACACGUCCAGCGGUCUGCCUAAUUAGAGCUGAGUGUAUCUGUGGGCAAUGGAGUCUGCGUCUGCACAUGGAAAGGGGGGAUUUGGCCGAGAGCGUUCAUUCACUGGGCUGUCUGGUGGCAAGACAAUGGUGAGGAGGCAGAUUGGAUGUCUUGUUUCCAGAGGAAAGACAAGAAUAAUGCCGGUUGAAUAUUCCAUAGAGGUGGAUUUUUGGGGGGACUGUUGGAAUUGGAAAAAUCCGGUUAGAGACUUAAUGGAAACAGAGCAGUAGCAGGGAGAGGCUGAGCUGAGCCUGUAGGCCGAUCUGAUGCCAGCCCUGCAUGUCCCAUCCUUUACCUGUCCUCUCUGUCCUCAGAGUGGGUCCACUCCACUCAUUUAUCCUUUGUCUAAACCAUUAUAUGAAAGGGCGUCCUCCCAUCCUGUCCUCAAGGACGACCACUCUCUCACUGCUGAGUCCGCCCUCGCACAGAAUAUGUGACUGUUGUGAUCCUCGUAGUCCCUAAAACUUGUACAGAAUUGAGAUCGGCUUCAGAAAUUCCCAACCAGAGAUACCUGUAGGCAAAGGCUACUUUGGCAGCAUAUGUAGAAAUUCAUAAAGUGAAUAUACUGAGUCAACAGCGAGGCCUAAACACUGAACAUUAUGACUGAGAGUGUGUCGAAACUUAGCUGGUAAAUGAGCAGAGAAGUUGAGCAAUUCAUUCAGCAGUUAUUGAUUUAAGGUUUGCUAUGGAUACAUGGAAAUUUUAAGUUUAAUUGUAUGAAAAAGAUAUUGUGACAAGCCAGUAUACACUUAAAUAAUAGUACUGAGCGAAAUCCAGUUUAAACUUAAGUCGAUGAAGGGUUUUUGGCUUCAUUUAUACACAUAGCUGAAAAAAAUGAGCAACACUAACUACAUAAUUUGACUUUCAGUAACUUUGCCAAUGGCUGUGCAGUGUCUUUAUUUUGUUACUCUAACAACAAAGUGAUACAUGCAUCAGAUUUUUGUUCAAUAAUUCAUAAGACGCUAGUUAAAAUGUCCAAUUUUGUUUCUCCUAAUGAAAAGAAACGUUUCAUAAAUUACUGGACUAGCAGCAAAGACAGCACGUUUUUCUGACCUUUCACCUAAUGUUCCACCACAUGUGCAGUUUUUUGGCAGCCUUUUCAGAUUUUCUAACAAACAUAAGUGACAUAUACAAACAUAACCUCCUGCAGCAUCUUCACUGAAAUUAAUCCACUUUCUGAGAACAUAGAAAUACUUAACAUGAAACUUUUUAUUCGCCCACACAGAAAAUACACAUAAAUGCAGAUUGAAACACACACACAGAGACUACCCACACUGCAUGAACACACAAAGCUAUCACCUCCCACCCACCAGCCUGGAAAAUAUUAACCUUUUCAUCUCAUGUCACCUUUUCGUCUAACUUCAUGCUCGCAUGCCUUUACAGACACACGCCACGGUGCACACAUGCACGUUACAAACUGGUUGUAAGUGCACACGGAUUCAUGCGUACAAACACAGGGACACACAAGCAGCUGCAGAUAUCUCAGAGGAACUUCAGAGAAUUCAGGGAGUGGAGAGUCAUUUUGUUAAAGAGGACCAAGCUGCAGGAAAUGAGAAUCAUUGACCCUCCCUUGUGACCGAAUUUACAAUCUGUGCCUGAAAUCAGUUGGAGGAAGAAAGAAAACAGAGAAAGUUAGCUGGAGAAGGAAAUGUUUGAGCGUCUAUAAAUAGAAAGCCCAUGUUUGAAAUGAUUCUGAAAGGCAUGCAGUCAUUUAUUAUUCAGCUCAUAUUGCUCCACGUUUAUCACAUAGAACGAGUAGAAAGGAACUUCACAGGCUUGUUUCGAAUCUAGAUUUAUUUCCCAACAGUAGCAGAUUUAAAACUAGUGAUAGGCGACAUUGCGCAUUUAUGAAAAUAUUUUAGAUAAACCCUGAUUUACGUCUGACAGGUUUUAUUACAGUGUGAAUUUCUAAUACUGGGAUAUGAAAUGAAGGAAAUGAUGCUUUAAACUAGCAGAUCAAAUACUGUAUUUGCCCCAGAAAAUGGCUGUAUCCCUGUAAAUCAUAAAUCAGUUCAGCUCCUCGAAUGCAACACCAAACAAUCUAAUUGUCUUAGAUCAGCACCUAUAAGCCAGCUGCUUUGUGCACACUUUGACUGUACUCAGACAAAGGGGAUUUCAAAUUGCCUUUCAAAUACGCUGUGAACCUUUAAGAUUUUUAUCACAACAAACAGCGAAUAUGGGAGGCUGCUAUUUGAGCGUGAGGCAUUAACGAAAACAAACAGUAUAUUGUGAGCACGAAGAGAAGAAGCCUUUUGCAUUGAAGACAUGCAUGGGGCCUCAUUCAUAAUUCAGAGGCGUCGCAGCGAUAUGAGAGAGGAGGACGCAUCUGUCUGCAUUACGCCAGCGUUGCCUCUUCGUUGCAUCACCCUCCCGGGAGGUUCGUUUUCGAGAGUUUAAUACGCUCCCUAUCAGUGGCGCUCUGGCUGUGGUCUAAUUUCAGCCUCAGAUAAGAGCCUUUAUUUGUCACCCAGCUCCUUUGCCCUGUCACACAGCCUAGAAGUGCCUCCUCAGUCUGAAAUCUUUAAAAGGAGUGCUGACUGGAUGAGCUGCCGUUUGUCUAUACGUUACUUGUGACGGUUAAGUGUGCAGUAUCACAAGUGAGAAUAUUAUGAACCCUCAAUUCUAAGUCAAAACCCAUCCCCCACACACACAUAUAGCUGUCUCCCCACACAAAGAGAGGCGCAUGUGCCUUAUUACACACACACACACACACACACACACACACACACACACACACACACACACACACACACACACACACACACACACACACAGCUGGCUGCUGGUCUGUCUGACCUAGUUUAUUUCUGUAGGCUGCUCUAAUGGAAGGAGCGAGCGUGGUGUAUUAUCUGACUGUAUCUGAUUUGCAUUUCUGCCCUGUCACUGGCAGAUGGCACCAGAGGUCGAGAGCAGAGCUUUUCGGAGGCCCGCUCGCACACACAUAUCCUGCACGUACACACAAACACACACACACAGAACACAUGAAGCUUUACACUUGUCAUAUAAGAACUUGAGUUGUCAGAAAAGCUGGUGAAUUGCAGUUUUGUUAAGCUGACUUAAUGUGUAAGUAAAAAACGCUGGAUGUGAUAGAGUCACGCACGCUUGCAGACGCACGCAAACUCAUGUUGGAGACAUAGUACAACGCUCACUUGCAUGCAUGCAUGCAGAGGGGUGGAGCGCCUGGUGUUCUGAACUGUAGCGUUCGGUUUACACCCUCUGCUCUUGCACUAUUCAUGCUUGAUAGGAAGGAAGUGAUGAAUCACGCUCACUUAUUUGUGGUAGUGGUGAGUGUUCAAGUACAGAUAGGGCCUCUCUCUCUUUCUGCCACACAGACAAACUUUCUCUCUCUCUCGAGAAAUCACAGAGGAAGUGAACAGACAUGAAACCUCAGCAGUUUGUCAUUCUCUAUUUGAUGGAAGUCAUGCUUGAAAUCAUUCAGAAAGAAGGUGAUUUGGGGGUUUUAUUGUGGUGCAGGAGUGAUGUGUUUACAUCACUGCCAUCGCAUCAGGGCCAUGUACGACUUGAUCGCUUCUGUCAUGUGUUCCAUCAAAUUUGGACAAAUCUUGUGUUGCAGAAAAAGCGCACAGUGGCUCUAAGGUGCGUUCUCUUGUCUGGGUUCAUCUGGAGCUCACACAGAAACACCAUCACACCCAGCUGGGGAGUGGCAGUGUCAUAAGUUGGUGUGUAUGUGUCUGCACUGACAUUAAUUUAAAUAUGUCAGCAGUUUUUUAACUUUUUGAUGACAGGAGCUGAUACGUGCUGCUGUGCACACACUUAAACUGCAUGCACACACACGCACAUGUGAAUCUUUAUUUGGAGACAGGAAGCAUCAGGGUGUGCUCUCACUCUGUCUUUCUCUACCUCGUUCUCUCUCUCUUUUUCACACACACAGCAACACACACACACACACACACACACACACACACACACACACGUAACCGUUAUUUGAGGGUGUGGGGACAUUUUCCAUGCGGUUUGAGUGGUUUAGCUUUGCAAUUGUAAAAAAAAAAAAAAAAAAAAAAAAAAUCUGCCAGAUCUGCUGUACAUGAAGACACAAAUGGUUUAAAUGGAGAGUGGGGGGGUGAAACCAAUUAGUUUGAGGCUCAUUAAAGUGUUGGGCAAAAACUGGCCAAAAGAGAGAGAGAAAAAAAACACAUGCAAAGUCUUGUCACGCCAACUUUUCCAUGAGCAUUGGUUCACAUGACAUGAAGAGGCUGACUGAGAUAUGAUUACAUUGUUAGAAAUUGUAUCCACCGAGUUCAAAAUAGAGGCCUAGGUUCAAACAGAAUGCUACUUGAGCAUUAAAAUCCCCCCUCCGUUACUUCUGUGUCUUCUGCUUUCAUAAUUUUCUUUGACACGGCCAUCUCCUCUCUGACUCAUCCAUCAGGUCUCAAGUGUAUUGUGGCGAACCGCUGUCGAAUUUACUCCACUUUUAUAUCCCUUUCCUCUCCUGUAUCUCGCUCUCUCCCUCUCUCCAUUUCCAUUUGCACUGCAUCUGUCUCUCUUAAGCAAAGGUUAACUUCUAGUUCAAUGUUAAUACUACCUAAAUAAUGCAUAUUUCCCAUGAAACAUGAAUGAGCUGGCUUUUUUUAAAAGGAAAAUAUUGUAAAUUAUACAGACUUUGUCAAUCUCAUGAGCUGAAAUAUUUCAAUAUUUGGACAGACAUGCAGGGAAGUUCAGAACAGGGUAGAAUUUGAGCUCUCGGUGCAAAUAGUGUUGCCUUCCAGGGUUUUUAUAAGUGAUAGAGAAGACUAGUCGUUAGCUCAGAGGGUGCUAAUUGUGUGGUCGGUGCUCUAGUUUGAAAGAAACUGAGUAAAAAUCUAUGUGUGCGUCAUGUCAGUGUACCUCUGCUCUUUUAAUAAAGGUAACACAAGUUCAGAAGACUUUAGUUUCUGUUCAGCUUUCAAACUUUUUUGGUAAUUCACAUGUGCCCUUAUUUUGCUGCAACUUUUCAGCAUCACAGCGAUGUCAUCCUCACUUCAGGUGGUGUAUGUGACACUCUUAGGGCCACAUUGUGUGCUGUCUCCUCACACCAGCAAUUGUGUCAUUUUUACCUCAAAAACCUGUUAGCUACGCAGUUUGGGCUUCUCGUGUCUUGCUUAAUAGCCUGAAGUAGAUGCAAGUGGAACUGACAUAAGCCUGUGUGUUUAUCUGUUAUUGUCUGCCGCUGUGAGCAUGUGCUCUGGGUGUCCUCUGUGUGUGUGUGUGUGUGUGUGUGUGUGUGUGUGUGUGUGUGUGUGUGUGUGUGUGUGUGUGUGUGUGUGUGUGUCCCUGCAUGUGUGUUUUUGGAUGCUGUGGGUGGGUACAGCCUGUGUGCAUGCCAUGAAUGUGGAUGAUGCGUGUGCACGCUUGCUGUGUGUUCUCAUUUGAUAGCCGCUUGCUAUCAGUGUUUGUUUGGGGUUAAAAGCCCCUGUCUCUGAGGGUGUUAGCGGGGGUCAUCUAAACCGGAUCUGCAGCAGAAUCGCUUGAGAGGCAGAAGCAUAAUCUGUAGCUGGCUUUGUGCUCCCAGAUUAAAGUGAUGAUGUUUUAAACCUUUCUCACGGCCACAAUAUGCCUUUGCUUUCCUCCCCGUUACUCAGUGUGAGUGUGACAGCAGAUCCACACGGUCGGGUUCAAGAAGAGGACACCUUCCUCGCUAUUUAUGAAGCGGGGAGCUUUAGCAUAUUAUCUGAGACGACGCACGCAUGUUCUAUUCAUCUAUUAAUUUGCCAUCAGCGUGGUGUAGCUAUAGCGUAUCUUCUCCACUGUUUGAGGGGAAACAGCUGCUAAUCCUAAUCCUCCCCCAGUCCCCCCCCCACCCCCCGGGAUUCUGUCAAAUCACAGGCCCUUUAAAAAGCUCUGGCUGGCUGGUUUCAGGGCUGGUUGAGUAGCUGUCUGACUGGCAGGCUCUAAAUGAGAGGAUGGACCAUGCUUACCCACUCCCGUGACUGACAUCCACUAGGCCUCCAAAAGUAUGUCACUUGUUUGCACAAGUAUGUACAUACACAACCCAGAAAUUUUCAGCGCCCGCUGUUUUUUCCAGUGGUAUCGUCCGACAGGCUUUACUGAUAAACAUCUGCAGACGAGUAGUUUACAGGUAUGUCAAGAAGGUUUAAAUAAAUGCAUACCAUACUGUGACACAGAGUAGUAGAAGGAUUUUUGGUUUACACAAGAUGUUUGUUGCUGGAAAAGAUGUUCUUAAUAACAGCCAGUGAUACUCACAUCUAAAAGGAAAUCGACAAACCAUCAGGGAAAUCUUUCUGCAACCAUUCUCUUAUCUUGUCCACAUGUUUAGGGGGACAUCUUAACAUUUGGGGACAUAAUAUGCUUAUUUGCUUUCUUGCUUGUUAACUUAGUUUAGCAUAAAAAAAUGGACGCAGUUGGCCAGGCAACAACUGGGAUCUUUAGGAGAUCACCUUGUCAAGUCAUUUUCAUAGUUUGAACCAAUAAUAAACAAAAUAUAACGUUAUUUACCUAAAGAAGUGUUGAUCUUUAUGCUAAGCUGUCUAUAACCAUAUUUAGGGAAGAGGGUGGUAUCAAUCUUCGCAUUUAGCUCCUAAACUCUUAAAAAAAACUUUCAAAAGAAAGCAAAUAACAGUAUUUCUUAAACUGUUUAAAUGUGCCUUAAUCAAAACACUUAACCCCAAACUACUGCUGCUGCUAUGUGUAUAUUUAAACUAAACCUAGAGUUUACAGAGCUCUUCUUUCUUACAAGAGAAAAAAAAAGAUCAUUAGGUCUGUAGUUCCUCCUUUUUGCAUCAUAUCAGAGUAAAAGGUUGAAAGCCUUGGUGUAGCGCCAACAUCACUGCCACACUCUGUAAUGUGAAGAUUUUAGAAAAGACUUGACACAUCCCCACUCUUACAAACAAAACAUCAACUGGUCACAUCAGUAUACUCAGGGGUUUUGCCGCCACAAUCUAACGCUAACGCUUUAGCUAUGGUGGCAACUAAUGUCAGCAAACUGUAGACGUGUAUUAUCCUUUCCUGCCACUCCCUCUGUUGAGUCUUGACAGUUUAUUUUGACUCUGGAAGUAGUUUCAGAAAACUACCGCUACUUCUGAAAACGUCUCAGCCAUGAGCAAAUAUACUGUUGUUGGCUGCAAGAGUGAACGCAGGAGUCUUCAUGCACUACUAGCACCAGAGGAACUGAAGAUCCAGUAGAUGACUUUUAUUAUUGAUGACAAUGUCUUCAAAAAAUCGAAAAAUCCUUGGUUUGAUGAGCAUGUUGAGCAGCUAUAGGGGCUACUGUUACAUUUACCUUUGACUGUAUGCCCACAGGUCAGAACUAUGAGGAUGUAGUCUUGUUGUCAUUCAGUCAUGGUGCCAACUGUGAAAUUGACCUCUUUGGACUAACUUUCCAUACACAGGAACUAAAAACAUAGCCAAGCUUUUCUUUUUCACUGAAAAGUUGAAAGACAUAUUCUGAGGACAUGUGCCACUGACAUUAAUUUGCUUUGAAGGGGGACAAAAUAGGACCUUUAAAUUGACCACCAUCUUGCGAUCACCACUCGUGGCCACAUUGAGCUAAUGUUACUUAAGUCAAGUUUCUGUCCAAAUAUAGCAAAAUUUUAACCACAUUUUUAGAAAAAUGGGCUUUGAAAAGAUUUAUUUUGCCCAUGUCUUCCACCCACAACUGUUAUGGGAAUAGUAGGAGUCAUGCAUAUCUAUAUAAAUAAAUACCUGGUGCUUGUACAUCAUUUGGAUGCUGUUAACUACUGCAGAAGAAGAGAGCACCAGUAAAACCUCACACAGUAAAAAAAAAAAAAGCCUGUAGAAAAUGUGACAUACAGAAAUAUAGCAAUUAAUUUGAAGAACUUUGCAGUCUCUAGUUCUGAUGUUUGCAUAGCAAUAUAUGGGUGGAUAUGCACUUACAAGCUCAUUUUAAACCACUGGAAGACCAAAAUGCUCUUCAACCAGUUUCUUGGCAUAUCAUUGACUGAAAGUGGUCAGUUGAGAGUUAAUGCGCUGGAAACAAAUAAAAAUGAACCCUUUUAAAACCCCCAGAACUCGAGUGUGUCAGGAUUUUGACUACAUCCUCCACAAGCUCUAAAGAUAUAGUACUUGCUGUUUUGAUGCAUCUCACGAAGUGUAAGACCCUGAAGCAGUUUCUCUUCUCUGGAAGUCUGAAAGUCUGAAGUACCAUUUCUAACUUUCACUCUCCAGCACAAACACUAAUAUCGGUCUUGUCCAUCAGUUGUUCUCACAUCAGUCAUUUCAGAUAAUGACUCUCAGCUGGGAAAGUGGAGCGACGUCGAGGCUGAGAGUAUCAGCAGACACACUUGCGUCUUCCUCCCUUGUUCUUGGCAUAUAAGGAUGAGAUGCGGAUGAGGAGCGCGCGGGUAACUAUCAGUUAUCAGCAUGAGGAUUAGGGACUGUCAUCAGCACCCAUAUGCCUCAUAUUACCCUCCUGAUGACACUAGAUGGAGAGAGGGAAAAGAUUGAGGAGGAGGAGGAGGAGGAGGUGGCUCGGGGGAAGGAUUACACCCGCUCUAAGAUUUCAGGGUAAAAGUCAGGUAGAGAACAGAGCCUGUCAAAGUAAAGUCUCAUAUAGACUCUGGUGUGUGAAUGUACAUUUCCACAAGUGCACAAAUCCCCAGAGAUAUGCAUAAAAAGACAUUGUGGCAGGAGCACUUUUCAUUUCUGGGUUCCUAAGCUAAACACAAUGCAAGUUCCUGUUGUAGAAAUGUGGGUGUGAAUGUUUGCUGUGCUGCUUGUAUGUAUGUAUGUAUGUACACUACCAGUCAAAGGUUUGGACACACCUUCUAAUUCAAUGUUUUUUCUUUAUUUUUACUACUUUCUACAUUGUAGAUACAUACUGAAGACAUCAAGGCUAUGAAGCAAGAUAUAUAGAAUUAUGCAGGUAACAAACAAUUGUGAAAUAACUAAAUAUGUUUCAGAUUUCUCAAAGUAGCCACCCUUUGCUUUGAUGACAGCCUUACAAACCCUUGGCCUUCUCUCUAUGAGCUUCAUGAAGUAGUCAUCUGAAAUGGUUUUCACUUCACAGGUGUGCCUUGUCAAAGUUCAUUUGUGAAAUUUCUUGCCUUUUUUAUGGGGUUGGGACCAUCAGUUGUGUUGUGCAGAAGUCAACUUGGUACACAGUCAUCAGCCCUAUUUGACAACUGUUACAAUCCAUAUUAUGUCAAGAACCAAUCAGCUAAGUAAAGAGAAACGACAGUCCAUCAUUACUUUAAGAACUGAAGGUCAGUCAGUCCGGAAAAUUGCCAAAACUUUGAAUGUAUUCCCAAGUGCAGUUGCAAAAACCAUCAAGUGCUAUGACGAAACUGACCGCCCCAGGAACGAAAGACCAAGAGUCACCUCUGCUGUUGAGGAUAAGUUCAUCCAAGUCACCAAACUCAGAAACUGCAAGUUAUCAGCACCUCAGAUUAGAGCCCAGAUAAAUGCCACACAAAGUUCUAGCAGCAGACACAUCUCUACAUCAACUGCUCAGAAGAGACUGACCAAUCAGACCUUGAUGGUCAAAUAGCUGCUAAGAAACCACUACUAAGGAAAAGCAACAAGCAGAAGAGAUUUGUUUGGGCCAAGAAACACAAGGAAUAGACAUCAGACCAGUGAAAAUCUGUGCUUUGGUCUGAUGAGUCCAAAUCUGAGAUCUUUGGUUCCAUCUUUGGUGUCUCUGUGUCACGCAGAAAAGGUGAACGGAUGGUCUCUACAUGCAUGGUUCCCACCAAGAAGCAUGGAGGAGGAGGUGUGAUGGUGUGGGGGUGGUUUGCUGGUGACACUGUUGGGGAUUUAUUCAAAACUGAAGGCACACUGAACCAGCAUGGCUACCACAGCAUCCUGCAGCGACAUGUCAUCCCAUCCGGUUUGCGUUUAGUUGGACCACCAUUUAUUUAAACAGGACAAUAACCCCAAACACACCUCCAGGCUGUGGAAGGGCUAUUUGACCAAGAAGGAGAGUGAUGGAGUGCUGCGCCAAAUAACCUGGCCUCCACAGUCACCUGAUGUAAGCCCAAUCGAGGUGGUUUGGAAUGAGAUGGACCGCAGAGUGAAGGCAAAAGGGCCAACAAGUGCUCAGUAUCUCUGAGAACUCCUUCAAGACUGUUGGAAAACCAUUUCUGGUGACUACCUCAUGAAGCUCAUCAAGAGAAUGCCAAGAGUGUACAAAGCAGUAAUCAAAGCAAAGGGUGGCUAUUUGGAAGAAUCUAAAAUAUAAAACAUGUUUUGACUUAUUUCACACUUUUUUGUUUACAACACAUAUAUGGGUUCAUUCAUAGUUUUGAUGCCUUCAGUGAGAAUCUACAUUUAAAUAGUCAUGAAAAUAAAGAAAAAACAUUAAAUCAGAA
Long non-coding RNA from Amphiprion ocellaris (clown anemonefish), 11089 nucleotides. RefSeq lists it as uncharacterized. Lineage: Eukaryota; Metazoa; Chordata; Actinopteri; Pomacentridae. The record is from RefSeq and is a predicted model, not a curated record. The transcript has 4 exons.